This 807-nucleotide ribosomal RNA is filed under the name uncultured bacterium. RNAcentral's name for it is "bacterial SSU rRNA". It matches the Rfam family "Bacterial small subunit ribosomal RNA", at positions 8 to 830 of the family's 1533-position model. The record is from RNAcentral.
AGAGUUUGAUCCUGGCUCAGGACGAACGCUGGCGGCGUGCUUAACACAUGCAAGUCGAGCGAGGUCCAUCCAGUGGCAACACUGGGGAAGACCUAGCGGCGAACGGGUGAGUAACACGUGAGCAACCUGCCCCGAAGACUGGGAUAACACCGGGAAACCGGUGCUAAUACCGGAUACCCCCAUUUGAUCGCAUGGUCUUAUGAGGAAACGAAUUUUGCUUUGGGAGGGGCUCGCGGCCUAUCAGCUUGUUGGUGGGGUAAUGGCCCACCAAGGCUUCGACGGGUAGCUGGUCUGAGAGGACGACCAGCCACACUGGGACUGAGACACGGCCCAGACUCCUACGGGAGGCAGCAGUGGGGAAUCUUGCGCAAUGGGCGAAAGCCUGACGCAGCAACGCCGCGUGGAGGAUGAAGGUCUUCGGGUUGUAAACUCCUUUCAGCAGGAACGAGAUUGACGGUACCUGCAGAAGAAGCCCCGGCCAACUACGUGCCAGCAGCCGCGGUAAUACGUAGGGGGCAAGCGUUGUACGGAAUCAUUGGGCGUAAAGAGCUCGUAGGCGGCUUGGCAAGUCGGGUGUGAGAACUUCAGGCUCAACCUGGAUGUGCNGCUCUAUACUGCCAUGGCUAGAGUCCUGUANGGGAUCUCGGAAUUCCUGGUGUAGCGGUGAAAUGCGCAGAUAUCAGGAGGAACACAGGUGGCUAAAGCUGGUGGUCUGGGCCGGCACUGACGCUGAUGAUCGAAAGCGUGGGANCAACCCUGAUGCGAUCCCUGGUAUUCAAGUCAAAUGCGGCACCUGACGGCGGUCUU